CGGACGGGUGAGUAACACGUAUCCAACCUGCCGUCUACUCUUGGACAGCCUUCUGAAGGAAGAUUAAUACAAGAUGGCAUCAUGAGUCCGCAUGUUCACAUGAUUAAAGGUAUUCCGGUAGACGAUGGGGAUGCGUUCCAUUAGAUAGUAGGCGGGGUAACGGCCCACCUAGUCUUCGAUGGAUAGGGGUUCUGAGAGGAAGGUCCCCCACAUUGGAACUGAGACACGGUCCAA
RNAcentral lists this ribosomal RNA (234 nucleotides) under uncultured bacterium. Its description in RNAcentral is "partial 16S ribosomal RNA". It matches the Rfam family "Bacterial small subunit ribosomal RNA", at positions 99 to 334 of the family's 1533-position model. The record is from RNAcentral.